UGAUCAUCAACUCCAGUUCCUCUGAAAUCACCACCACCUCUAUCUGGCCAGAGAUUGCACUGUGCUCAUUAACAUCAUCAGCUGCCCCUCAGGAGGAGAGACUAGAGGCAGUCUGUGAAAGAAAGAAGGCGACUGUGGAAGAGGAGAGAUAGCGCUUUCUUCCGAGUGUGUUACGCUGCAGUGUGCUGCAGCAUGAGCGGCAGUUCGAAAUAAUCUCUCCUAGCACACACACACUGCAGAAAUAUACACAUCCCAAUCUAACAUGUGUAGAACACUGAACUCACCGACACGAUGCAGUCAAAUUUAAAAGAGACUUCAUAUCCGUCCUGGGCCGGAACCAGAUGCUUUGCACAGGUGUGUUCGGAUUUUGCUUAAACUCACCUGGGGACAUUUUCCUACACGCCUUCCUCCUCACACAGUGAACAAGCGUACAGGGUGGAUGCAAGCACCAGGAACUCUUCCGGAUUUUUAUUUCUAUUUUUUCUAUUUUUCCUAUUAUUUUGUAGGAUUUUUUCCUUUUUUCUGUUAUGAUCCGGUGUGAGGAGACAUCAGUAAACAGUGUUUUUGGUGAUGCUUUUUGGCCGAAUUUUCUUUCUGGCUUGUCUGCCUUUUUAAAAAAAAUAAAAAAAAAUAAAAAAGAAUUUGUGGAACGCUGAGUGUAACACUGCAUGAGGCAACUGAUGUCUCAAGGCCAUCGCAGCAACCAUAGUCCCAGCAACCACAGUGAGAACGUCCAUGCGGAACUGCGAACUGAACUUGUUCUGCAAUCUGCUUAUAGUAACCCUAACAAACCUAGGUGCGUCCAUAUUCAGCUGCUCAGACCUGCAGGUCCUUACUUUGAUCUGGUGUAAGGACGCAUCAGUAAACCAGGAGAAUUCGCUGGUUUUAUGGUGACCAUCUACGUUGCUGUUAUCACGUUGGAAUUCUGUCUAAAGGACUUCCUGUUUUAUACCUUCAUUCUUUUUUUCUUUUUUUUUUUAAUGAUCAUUUUUGUAUUUGGUCUAAAAUUUGCCUGCUUCCCACUUCUGUCAAGUUUUUGGACGUGGAAUAUCUUUCAUUACGGGACUUCUUUUAACAUUUGGGUCGUCAAAAGAAAUCAUUUCAGUUCAUCUGAGACACAACGUCAAAACCGGUACGGAAAGCAGAAGCAAGAGAGAGAUACAGAGAAGAAAACACUGAGUACUGGAUUCAUCCUUUUAAAAGCCACGACCCUGAAUCUGAUUAUAAUUUGAUCGUUAUUUAACGACUAGUUAGUGAGGCACCUUUUAGCUUUAGUUUUAAGUGUUCAGAAGAAAGUAUUUCUAAAUACACAGCACAAUCAUUCACACCCAAAACUAGGUGUGCAUCUUCGUCGGUCUUGCUCUACCAGUUGUACUAGAUUUUUAUUUCCUUCCAGUGAGUUUUUAACCGAAUGCUUUCACUGUCACUCGGUGUUGAAAGGUAGCUUUGGAUGGAAGAUCUGUGAUGUCCAAUGUGUAAAAAUUUGUGUAAAUGAAAGAAGAAAAAGAAAGAAACAUGACUCUAAACAUAAACAUCAAACACAAAGAAGAAGCUUAUACAGAAAGCAGAAGAAAAUCCUGACAGUGAGAACAAACUCACAACAUGAUUGGAUGAAUUCUCAGCUAGACCCUGAAACCGACGCGAUGACGAGUUCACACUGAUGAUGGAGUGAAACUGUCAGUGGAGGAGACGGAACCAGCACGGACCCAGAGCUCAGUGCGACCGUUCCACUCCGACUACGACACCUACGACCUACGAGAUUCUGAUGAAGAGGCAGAGGAGGCAGAAGAUGCAGAUGAGGCAGAGGAGGUUUCCCAGCUGGAAAAUAUUCUACAGCUUUCUGUGCGUGAAGAAGAAAGAGGAAACCUUCUUGCCAGGUCUUUGGAUGAGUCUUCGGAGGUCAACAACUAUACAGAUGGUGGAGUGAAACUGUCAGUGGAGGAGACGGAACCAGAAUGGACCCAGAGCUCAGUGCGACCGUUCUACUCCGACUACGACACCUACGACCUACGAGAUUCUGAUGAAGAGGCAGAGUGAUCUAACUCUAAACAUGGACCGUGACUACGACUACGAUACGAACUAAACUAACUCUAUGAUAAUCUGCCGCGUUGUGUGCUGGGAGGCGCGCGUUAUAUAUGUGGACAUGAUCAGUGUCUAAACCGCUAGCAGCUGAGAGCAAUACAGACACACGUGAAAUCCCAGCCAAUGGCAGAACAGGGAGGAGACAUGACAGAAACAUAAACAAAACACACAUGUCCAGAUGUCAUUACGGUCAACAAUGGAAAAGCAGGCACUCGCGCAUUCGCGCUUUGAGCACACUGCUUCAAGGGGGAGUCUUGACAGAACCCCCCCCCCCAAAGGCACUCCUCCCGGAGUGCCAUGAGUCCUCCCUUCUCAUUGGCGGCCCCGGGCCCCUGGGCUGAAUGUCCCAAGCAGAGCCAGGAAACCACACGGUGACGGAGCAGGGAAGCAGAGCGACCCCAUGUCACUAUGGUCAACAAUGGAAAAGCAGGCGCUCGCGCAUUUGCGCUUUGAGCACACUGCUUCACGGGGGAAUCAUGACACAGAGGAGGCAGAGCAUAAUAAUAAUAAUAAUAAUAAUAAUAAUAGCUAAUUAUACAGUAAAUGAUAAGUAAUGUAAUUUAUGUUAUAUAAAAAUAUGUAUUGUUUUUUGUGUAUUGUAUAUGCAUUUUUUGUAUCUAAAUAAAGACUGUUGAUAUAUGUCGUUA
Long non-coding RNA from Ictalurus punctatus (channel catfish), 2729 nucleotides. The record is from Ensembl. NCBI's taxonomy places the organism in Eukaryota, Metazoa, Chordata, Actinopteri, Siluriformes, Ictaluridae.